Molecule: long non-coding RNA, 338 nt
Organism: Rhipicephalus microplus (southern cattle tick)
Lineage: Eukaryota; Metazoa; Arthropoda; Arachnida; Ixodida; Ixodidae
Source: RefSeq, a predicted model, not a curated record
CAGUGGCGGGGUGUAGGCGACGCUUCGAGAAGUCAUUCCAACACCGUGGUGGACGUCACCCGUCUGCAUGUCUUCGUUUCGUCAGCGUCCCUAAGGAAAAAGAAAAGGAGUCGGACCAAACAGAAAAGAAAAGCAAGAGAGUCGGGAGAAGGCGAAAUGUCAUGCACAUUGAGGUUCCCCGGGACAGAAAGAUUUCAACACCGAAAGUAACUGCACUGAGCUUUUGAUUGACAUUGACAAAGACAGAAAAUGACCACUGCUUUCCGUCGGUCACUAACAAUGCCACGCAAACUCUGAAGACAAUGUAAAAAAGAUGAUAUUUUUUUGUGAAAUUAUAC